GACGAACGCUGGCGGCGUGCUUAACACAUGCAAGUCGAACGAAGAGCGAUGGAAGCUUGCUUCUAUCAAUCUUAGUGGCGAACGGGUGAGUAACGCGUAAUCAACCUGCCCUUCAGAGGGGGACAACAGUUGGAAACGACUGCUAAUACCGCAUACGAUCUAACCUCGGCAUCGAGGAUGGAUGAAAGGUGGCCUCUAUUUAUAAGCUAUCACUGAAGGAGGGGAUUGCGUCUGAUUAGCUAGUUGGAGGGGUAACGGCCCACCAAGGCGAUGAUCAGUAGCCGGUCUGAGAGGAUGAACGGCCACAUUGGGACUGAGACACGGCCCAGACUCCUACGGGAGGCAGCAGUGGGGAAUCUUCCGCAAUGGACGAAAGUCUGACGGAGCAACGCCGCGGGAGUGAUGACGGCCUUCGGGUUGUAAAGCUCUGUUAAUCGGGACGAAAGGCCUUCUUGCGAAUAGUUAGAAGGAUUGACGGUACCGGAAUAGAAAGCCACGGCUAACUACGUG
This 510-nucleotide ribosomal RNA is filed under the name uncultured bacterium. Its description in RNAcentral is "partial 16S ribosomal RNA". It matches the Rfam family "Bacterial small subunit ribosomal RNA", at positions 28 to 507 of the family's 1533-position model. The record is from RNAcentral.